UACGAAGGGGGCGAGCGUUGUUCGGAUUUACUGGGCGUAAAGGGCGCGCAGGCGGUUCUGUUUGUCGAGUGUGAAAGCCCCGGGCUCAACCUGGGAACGGCGCUCGAAACGGCGGGACUAGAGAUCGGGAGAGGAGCGUGGAAUUCCCAGUGUAGAGGUGAAAUUCGUAGAUAUUGGGAAGAACACCGGUGGCGAAGGCGGCGCUCUGGACCGAGACUGACGCUGAGGCGCGAAAGCGUGGGGAGCAAACAGG
This 253-nucleotide ribosomal RNA is filed under the name uncultured bacterium. Its description in RNAcentral is "partial 16S ribosomal RNA". It matches the Rfam family "Bacterial small subunit ribosomal RNA", at positions 524 to 776 of the family's 1533-position model. The record is from RNAcentral.